UCACCCGCCAAUAGGGAACGUGAGCUGGGUUUAGACCGUCGUGAGACAGGUUAGUUUUACCCUACUGAUAACAGGUCGUUGCCGUAGUAAUCCUGCUUAGUACGAGAGGAACCGCAGGUUCGGGCAUUUGGUACACGCACUCGGUCGACAGGCCGGUGGUGCGAUGCCACCGUCCGCGGGAUUAUGCCUGAACGCCUCUAAGGCCGAAUCCCGACUAUGGUUCAACGAUUUAACAAUGGGUCCCGUGAGUCGAAAGGCUCAAAACAAUGUGACUUUAAUAGGCGGCCGGUUUAAACGGCUGUCGCCUGAGCCUUGUGGCUAAAAAUUCCAUUGUGUAAUUAAAUAUAUAGUAAAUUCUAGAUAUUUAAUUGGUUUUUUUAGCGUAACAUGGUUGAACCCUUCGGGGAGUUCGAUGUCGGGACCCAGAAUCGUCUGUAGACGACUUUUGUACCGGGCGGGGUGUUGUACUCGGGAGAGCAGUUAACUCGGUGCGAUCUGUUGAGACUCAGCCCUAGCUGGGGAGAUUCGU
This 529-nucleotide non-coding RNA is filed under the name Rhodnius prolixus. Its description in RNAcentral is "Eukaryotic large subunit ribosomal RNA". It matches the Rfam family "Eukaryotic large subunit ribosomal RNA", at positions 2933 to 3401 of the family's 3401-position model. The record is from Rfam by way of RNAcentral. Lineage: Eukaryota; Metazoa; Arthropoda; Insecta; Hemiptera; Reduviidae.